This 230-nucleotide ribosomal RNA is filed under the name uncultured bacterium. RNAcentral's name for it is "partial 16S ribosomal RNA". It matches the Rfam family "Bacterial small subunit ribosomal RNA", at positions 30 to 259 of the family's 1533-position model. The record is from RNAcentral.
AUUGAACGCUGGCGGCAUGCCUUACACAUGCAAGUCGAACGGCAGCACGGGGGCAACCCUGGUGGCGAGUGGCGAACGGGUGAGUAAUACAUCGGAACGUGCCCCGUAGCGGGGGACGAACCAGUCGAAAGACUGGCUAAUACCGCAUACGCUCCACGGAGGAAAGCAGGGGAUCGCAAGACCUUGCACUAUGGGAGCGGCCGAUGCCCGAUUAGCUAGUUGGUGAGGUA